This 466-nucleotide ribosomal RNA is filed under the name uncultured bacterium. Its description in RNAcentral is "bacterial SSU rRNA". It matches the Rfam family "Bacterial small subunit ribosomal RNA", at positions 917 to 1382 of the family's 1533-position model. The record is from RNAcentral.
GGGCCCGCACAAGCGGAGGAACAUGUGGUUUAAUUCGAUGAUACGCGAGGAACCUUACCCGGGCUUGAAAUGCAGAAGACCGAAGUGGAAACACUUCUUCCAGCAAUGGCUUCUGUGUAGGUGCUGCAUGGUUGUCGUCAGCUCGUGCCGUGAGGUGUCGGCUUAAGUGCCAUAACGAGCGCAACCCUUGUCGGUAGUUGCUAUCAGGUAAUGCUGGGGACUCUACCGAGACUGCCAUCGUAAGAUGCGAGGAAGGUGGGGAUGACGUCAAAUCAGCACGGCCCUUACGUCCGGGGCGACACACGUGUUACAAUGGGUGGUACAACGGGCAGCUACCGGGCGACCGGAUGCCAAUCUCUCAAAUCCACUCUCAGUUCGGAUCGAAGUCUGCAACCCGACUUCGUGAAGCUGGAUUCGCUAGUAAUCGCGCAUCAGCCACGGCGCGGUGAAUACGUUCCCGGGCCUU